This 253-nucleotide ribosomal RNA is filed under the name uncultured bacterium. Its description in RNAcentral is "partial 16S ribosomal RNA". It matches the Rfam family "Bacterial small subunit ribosomal RNA", at positions 524 to 776 of the family's 1533-position model. The record is from RNAcentral.
UACGUAGGGUCCAAGCGUUAAUCGGAAUUACUGGGCGUAAAGGGUGCGCAGGUGGUUGUUUAAGUGCGAUGUGAAAGCCCCGGGCUCAACCUGGGAAUGGCAUUGCAAACUGAACGACUAGAGUAUGGCAGAGGGGGGUGGAAUUCCGCGUGUAGCAGUGAAAUGCGUAGAGAUGCGGAGGAACACCGAUGGCGAAGGCAACCCCCUGGGCUAAUACUGACACUCAUGCACGAAAGCGUGGGGAGCAAACAGG